GGGAAGUAAAAGUCGUAACAAGGUCUCCGUUGGUGAACCAGCGGAGGGAUCAUUAUAGAGUUUUCUAAACUCCCAACCCAUGUGAACUUACCUUUUGUUGCCUCGGCAGAAGUUAUAGGUCUUCUUAUAGCUGCUGCCGGUGGACCAUUAAACUCUUGUUAUUUUAUGUAAUCUGAGCGUCUUAUUUUAAUAAGUCAAAACUUUCAACAACGGAUCUCUUGGUUCUGGCAUCGAUGAAGAACGCAGCGAAAUGCGAUAAGUAAUGUGAAUUGCAGAAUUCAGUGAAUCAUCGAAUCUUUGAACGCACAUUGCGCCCAUUAGUAUUCUAGUGGGCAUGCCUGUUCGAGCGUCAUUUCAACCCUUAAGCCUAGCUUAGUGUUGGGAAUCUACUUCUCUUAGGAGUUGUAGUUCCUGAAAUACAACGGCGGAUUUGUAGUAUCCUCUGAGCGUAGUAAUUUUUUUCUCGCUUUUGUUAGGUGCUAUAACUCCCAGCCGCUAAACCCCCAAUUUUUUGUGGUUGACCUCGGAUCAGGUAGGAAUACCCGCUGAACUUAAGCAUAUCAAUAAGCGGAGGA
RNAcentral lists this ribosomal RNA (575 nucleotides) under Pestalotiopsis sydowiana. RNAcentral describes it as "eukaryotic LSU rRNA". The stretch from base 199 to 352 matches the Rfam family "5.8S ribosomal RNA". Lineage: Eukaryota; Fungi; Ascomycota; Sordariomycetes; Amphisphaeriales; Sporocadaceae. The record is from RNAcentral.